UGCCAGCAGCCGCGGUAAUACGGAGGGUGCGAGCGUUAAUCGGAAUUACUGGGCGUAAAGCGCGCGUAGGCGGCUAGGUCAGUCGGAUGUGAAAGCCCUGGGCUUAACCUGGGAACUGCAUUCGAUACUGCCUGGCUAGAGUAUGGUAGAGGGAAAUGGAAUUCCGGGUGUAGCGGUGAAAUGCGUAGAUAUCCGGAGGAACACCAGUGGCGAAGGCGACUUCCUGGACCAAUACUGACGCUGAGGUGCGAAAGCGUGGGUAGCGAACGGGAUUAGAUA
Molecule: ribosomal RNA, 279 nt
Filed under: uncultured bacterium
Lineage: Bacteria
Description: partial 16S ribosomal RNA
Rfam family: Bacterial small subunit ribosomal RNA
Source: RNAcentral